ACUGUAGAACUGCCAUUGAUACUGUCAUUCUUGAGUAUUGUUGAGGUAGGCGGAAUGUGUCAUGUAGCGGUGAAAUGCUUAGAUAUGACACAGAACACCGAUCGCGAAGGCAGCUUACCAAGCAAUAACUGACGUUCAUGCACGAAAGCGUGGGGAUCAAACAGGAUUAGAUACCCUGGUAGUCCACGCCUUAAACGAUGGAUGUUCGGUGUCGGUUCGCAAGGAUCGGUGCCUGAGCCAACGCGUUAAACAUCCCACCUGGGGAGUACGAUCGCAAGGUUGAAACUCAAAGGAAUUGACGGGGGCCCGCACAAGCAGUGGAGAAUGUGGUUCAAUUCGAUGCAACGCGAAGAACCUUACCUGGGUUUGAAAAGCUAGUGACAUCCGAUGAAAGUCGGCUUCCCCGCAAGGGGCACUAG
RNAcentral lists this ribosomal RNA (419 nucleotides) under uncultured bacterium. Its description in RNAcentral is "bacterial SSU rRNA". It matches the Rfam family "Bacterial small subunit ribosomal RNA", at positions 612 to 1032 of the family's 1533-position model. The record is from RNAcentral.